CAAUAGCGUAUAUUAAAGUUGUUGCGGUUAAAAAGCUCGUAGUUGGAUUUCUGCUGAGGACGAUCGGUCCGCCCACUGGGUGAGUAUCUGGCUCGGCCUUGGCAUCUUCUUGGAGAACGUUGCUGCACUUGACUGUGUGGUGCGGUAUCCAGGACUUUUACUUUGAGGAAAUUAGAGUGUUUCAAGCAGGCGCACGCCUUGAAUACAUUAGCAUGGAAUAAUAAGAUAGGACCUUAGUUCUAUUUUGUUGGUUUCUAGAGCUGAGGUAAUGAUUAAUAGGGAUAGUUGGGGGCAUUCGUAUUUAACUGUCAGAGGUGAAAUUCUUGGAUUUAUGAAAGACGAACUACUGCGAAAGCAUUUGCCAAGGAUGUUUUCAUUAA
This 380-nucleotide ribosomal RNA is filed under the name uncultured eukaryote. RNAcentral describes it as "partial 18S ribosomal RNA". It matches the Rfam family "Eukaryotic small subunit ribosomal RNA", at positions 592 to 976 of the family's 1831-position model. The record is from RNAcentral.